This 253-nucleotide ribosomal RNA is filed under the name uncultured bacterium. RNAcentral's name for it is "partial 16S ribosomal RNA". It matches the Rfam family "Bacterial small subunit ribosomal RNA", at positions 524 to 776 of the family's 1533-position model. The record is from RNAcentral.
UACGGAGGGUGCAAGCGUUAUCCGGAUUUACUGGGUUUAAAGGGUGCGUAGGCGGGCAGGUAAGUCAGUGGUGAAAUCUUCGAGCUUAACUCGGAAACUGCCUUUGAUACUAUCUGUCUUGAAUAUUGUGGAGGUAAGCGGAAUAUGUCAUGUAGCGGUGAAAUGCUUAGAUAUGACAUAGAACACCUAUUGCGAAGGCAGCUUACUACGCAUAUAUUGACGCUGAGGCACGAAAGCGUGGGGAUCAAACAGG